UACGUAGGGUGCAAGCGUUAUCCGGAUUUACUGGGUUUAAAGGGUGCGUAGGUGGGUCUGUAAGUCAGUGGUGAAAUCUCCGGGCUUAACCCGGAAACUGCCAUUGAUACUAUAGAUCUUGAAUAUCCUGGAGGUGAGCGGAAUAUGUCAUGUAGCGGUGAAAUGCUUAGAUAUGACAUAGAACACCAAUUGCGAAGGCAGCUCACUACGGGAUUAUUGACACUGAGGCACGAAAGCGUGGGGAUCAAACAGG
RNAcentral lists this ribosomal RNA (253 nucleotides) under uncultured bacterium. RNAcentral's name for it is "partial 16S ribosomal RNA". It matches the Rfam family "Bacterial small subunit ribosomal RNA", at positions 524 to 776 of the family's 1533-position model. The record is from RNAcentral.